AGUUAAAUAAAGGUAAAAAAACAACAUCUAGCUGUCACUGUUUAGACACUAACUCAGCAUAAAAAAUGGCCACUGCUCAUUCAGUUGUUUUCCUUAUUUUUUUCUCAAGAGAUUGUCAUGCUGUUUGUUUCGAUUGCCUUUCUCUAAAUGUCAUCCUGAAAGGUUGCAUCUGAACCUCCUAGCCAGUGGCACAUAAGGAUUUUCCCCAGAUAAAAAAGUAAGCCUGUCCCUCAAGACAAAUUAUAAUGAUUUGGUCUGUUAGUCUUCUUUCUCUUUCUCCCUGUUAUGUUGCUUCCAUUCCCAAGGACUAGGGGGCAAGAACCAGCCACUUGUGGUGUGGAGGUGGUGUGGUUUGUGUGUGUGGGUUUUAGCUUGGCACGUGUGUGUGUGUGUGUGUGUGUGUGUGUAUAAGUGUGUGUGUGCUUGUGUGUGUUUUUAAUUCUGACUCUUCUCCAUCUGUGGGUUUUCUCCUCUGUUCUCUCCUGCACCAUGCUCCCAUUCCCAAGCGUCAGCCCGGAGAGAUUACAGACCGAAGGGUACUCAACAUGUUUGGUCCUAUGGGCCAGGCAGGAUGCUACAUCCUGGACACCCUCAAAAUGGGUGCGGUCCAAGAGAAGUUCUAUAAGAAGGGGGGACACUGGGACGUGUGGUCAAUGUGUGGGGAUGCAGGGUGGUCAUCUGUGACUGUGACAACUUCAGCAAAGCGUUCUACUGCUCCAAAUACGGCGUUGGUGCUUGCUGGGGGGUCUGCAGUGUGGUCUGUCAGAACACGAGGAGAUGAUGUCGAGUCGUAGUUUCUGUGAGCGCCAGCUGCCCGAGGCGGAGGUUGGCCUCACGCUGGCUGUGGCUCAGGACCACCUCCGCAAGAAAGACUUUGAGAGAUUCUCCGACAUGACCCGAUCCUUCACACACAAGGACCAACACAGUUUGACAUGGACUGGAGGUGAAGAGCAUUAACUACUCUGUCCUCCUGGAAGAUAUGUUCGGUAGUGUCCAGACCAACAUCGACCCAACACUCUAACCGGCCCAACACAGGCAACACAGAGACAAAGAUAUGGAGAAGAAACCACCAGAUAGAUCAUCAGCCUAUGAAAUCAAUCACCUCACUGCUCGCUGUAUAUAUUAUCCUCUUUCAAUAAAAGACAUGGAUUAUGGCC
RNAcentral lists this long non-coding RNA (1157 nucleotides) under Salmo salar (Atlantic salmon). Its description in RNAcentral is "lncRNA (ENSSSAG00000092451.1)". The record is from RNAcentral. Lineage: Eukaryota; Metazoa; Chordata; Actinopteri; Salmoniformes; Salmonidae.